Molecule: transfer RNA, 85 nt
Filed under: Caudoviricetes sp.
Lineage: Duplodnaviria; Heunggongvirae; Uroviricota; Caudoviricetes
Description: tRNA-Ser
Rfam family: tRNA
About the family: Transfer RNA (tRNA) molecules are approximately 80 nucleotides in length. Their secondary structure includes four short double-helical elements and three loops (D, anti-codon, and T loops). Further hydrogen bonds mediate the characteristic L-shaped molecular structure. tRNAs have two regions of fundamental functional importance: the anti-codon, which is responsible for specific mRNA codon recognition, and the 3' end, to which the tRNAs corresponding amino acid is attached (by aminoacyl-tRNA synthetases). tRNAs cope with the degeneracy of the genetic code in two manners: having more than one tRNA (with a specific anti-codon) for a particular amino acid; and 'wobble' base-pairing, i.e. permitting non-standard base-pairing at the 3rd anti-codon position.
Source: RNAcentral
GGAAGGGUGGCGGAGAGGCUUAUCGCCAUCGGUUGCUAACCGAUCGCUCCCCAGGGAGCCGCAGGUCCGAAUCCUGCCCCUUCCG